GUGCUUGCUUCAGCAGCACAUAUACUAAAAACUGGAAUGAUACAGAGAAGAUUAGCACGGCCCCUGCCCAAGGUGGACAUACAAAUUCCAGAAGUGUUCCAUAUUUUU
Molecule: small nuclear RNA, 108 nt
Organism: Budorcas taxicolor (takin)
Lineage: Eukaryota; Metazoa; Chordata; Mammalia; Artiodactyla; Bovidae
Source: RefSeq, a predicted model, not a curated record